This 146-nucleotide unclassified non-coding RNA is filed under the name soil metagenome. RNAcentral describes it as "partial internal transcribed spacer 1". The record is from RNAcentral.
UAAUGAGGUGUUUUAUGGCACUUUUUAAAUCCAUAUCCACCUUGUGUGCAAUGUCAGUCGAUCUUCUUCAUGGAGAUCGACCAAACAUCAACCUUUAUCUUUUAACUCUUUGUCUGAAAAAUAUUAUGAAUAAACAAUUCAAAAUA